RNAcentral lists this ribosomal RNA (253 nucleotides) under uncultured bacterium. Its description in RNAcentral is "partial 16S ribosomal RNA". It matches the Rfam family "Bacterial small subunit ribosomal RNA", at positions 524 to 776 of the family's 1533-position model. The record is from RNAcentral.
UACGUAGGGUGCGAGCGUUAAUCGGAAUUACUGGGCGUAAAGCGUGCGCAGGCGGUUUUGUAAGCCAGAUGUGAAAGCCCCGGGCUUAACCUGGGAAUGGCAUUUGGGACUGCAAGGCUGGAGUGUGGCAGAGGAGACUGGAAUUCCUGGUGUAGCAGUGAAAUGCGUAGAUAUCAGGAGGAAUACCGAUGGCGAAGGCAGGUCUCUGGGCCGACACUGACGCUCAUGCACGAAAGCGUGGGGAGCAAACAGG